This 404-nucleotide ribosomal RNA is filed under the name Verrucomicrobiota bacterium. RNAcentral's name for it is "Verrucomicrobia bacterium partial 16S ribosomal RNA". It matches the Rfam family "Bacterial small subunit ribosomal RNA", at positions 355 to 776 of the family's 1533-position model. Lineage: Bacteria; Pseudomonadati; Verrucomicrobiota. The record is from RNAcentral.
UGGCGAAUAUUGGACAAUGGGCGCAAGCCUGAUCCAGCCAUGCCGCGUGAGUGAUGAAGGCCCUAGGGUUGUAAAGCUCUUUCACCGGUGAAGAUAAUGACGGUAACCGGAGAAGAAGCCCCGGCUAACUUCGUGCCAGCAGCCGCGGUAAUACGAAGGGGGCUAGCGUUGUUCGGAUUUACUGGGCGUAAAGCGCACGUAGGCGGACUUUUAAGUCAGGGGUGAAAUCCCGGGGCUCAACCCCGGAACUGCCUUUGAUACUGGAAGUCUUGAGUGCAGGAGAGGAAAGUGGAAUUCCCAGUGUAGCGGUGAAAUGCGUAGAUAUUGGGAGGAACACCAGUAGCGAAGGCGGCUUUCUGGACUGCAACUGACACUGAGGCACGAAAGCGUGGGUAGCAAACAGG